GGAGUUGUAGCUCAGGGGUAGAGCGCUUGCCUUGCAUGUAUGAGGCACUGGGUUUGAUCCUCGGCACCA
RNAcentral lists this transfer RNA (69 nucleotides) under Ictidomys tridecemlineatus (thirteen-lined ground squirrel). Its description in RNAcentral is "Spermophilus tridecemlineatus (thirteen-lined ground squirrel) tRNA". It matches the Rfam family "tRNA". From Rfam's summary of the family: Transfer RNA (tRNA) molecules are approximately 80 nucleotides in length. Their secondary structure includes four short double-helical elements and three loops (D, anti-codon, and T loops). Further hydrogen bonds mediate the characteristic L-shaped molecular structure. tRNAs have two regions of fundamental functional importance: the anti-codon, which is responsible for specific mRNA codon recognition, and the 3' end, to which the tRNAs corresponding amino acid is attached (by aminoacyl-tRNA synthetases). tRNAs cope with the degeneracy of the genetic code in two manners: having more than one tRNA (with a specific anti-codon) for a particular amino acid; and 'wobble' base-pairing, i.e. permitting non-standard base-pairing at the 3rd anti-codon position. Lineage: Eukaryota; Metazoa; Chordata; Mammalia; Rodentia; Sciuridae. The record is from Rfam by way of RNAcentral.